Molecule: ribosomal RNA, 500 nt
Filed under: uncultured bacterium
Lineage: Bacteria
Description: partial 16S ribosomal RNA
Rfam family: Bacterial small subunit ribosomal RNA
Source: RNAcentral
AUUGAACGCUGGCGGCAUGCUUUACACAUGCAAGUCGAACGGUAACAGGGUGCUUGCACCGCUGACGAGUGGCGAACGGGUGAGUAAUGCGUCGGAACGUGCCGAGUAGUGGGGGAUAACGCAGCGAAAGUUGUGCUAAUACCGCAUACGUACUGAGGUAGAAAGUGGGGGACCUUCGGGCCUCACGCUAUUCGAGCGGCCGACGUCUGAUUAGCUAGUAGGUGAGGUAAAGGCUCACCUAGGCUACGAUCAGUAGCGGGUCUGAGAGGAUGAUCCGCCACACUGGGACUGAGACACGGCCCAGUCUCCUACGGGAGGCAGCAGUGGGGAAUUUUGGACAAUGGGCGAAAGCCUGAUCCAGCCAUGCCGCGUGUCUGAAGAAGGCCUUCGGGUUGUAAAGGACUUUUGUCAGGGAGGAAAUCCCUAGUGCUAAUAACACUGGGGGAUGACAGUACCUGAAGAAUAAGCACCGGCUAACUACGUGCCAGCCGCCGCGGUAA